AGAUCCUCAAAUUUACUUCAUCCUCACUGGAUGUGUAACAGCCACAGUAUCCGAUUGCUCUUUAUCAUUUCCUGCCCAGUUUCCCAGGCCAAUGCAUGUGUAAUUAUCAGGAUGUUUUUACGGCUAACAUUAUAGAAAAAGAGUACAGAACCACGGCCUUAUCACUGAAAACACACAUACACACUGAGACUAAAAUUACCUCAUUUGUCAUUCAGUCUGUCUGGGUCUGACAGUAUAAUGAUACUGGGUUAGUGUGGUCUUUUGUGACCAUACUAACCCUACUGAGAUAUACACAGUUUGACCACAGUUUUUUAUGAUAUGCAGUCCUACUUUAUCAUGACUCUCCUUGGCCCUAAACAUCCAGCACUGGAAGAGACCAACAAACAGAUGCAUUUCAAUACUGUAAUGGGAGAAUGGUCAGAGAAACAGCUGCUACAGUGGUUAAACAAAGAGAGGGAUUAGAGUGGCAGGAUUCAGCCUCAAAAAGAAAUGGGAAAAUGAGUGGCAGAAGGUUGUCCAAGGAGGGAGAAAACAUGCCAGACAUGACAAGACCACCAGCAGAACUGAGGAAAAUGGAAAAGUGCCCAUGCAGAAGAAUUACUUACUACGACGGGGUCUAAAGCAACUAAUGACCCAGUCUCUAAUUUACUGCAAGUCUGCAAAGUUGACUUCACAAAUCAUUUCUUCCAAAAUCAGUAAACUGCCAAUGGGUAAGGGUUAAAUAACAACAACAUUCUUGCUGGAGUUGCAUGUCACUGUGUGUUAAUUUCAAUGCUAAAAAAUGCCUUUUUACCCUUUUCCACAGUUUCUUCACUGGGCAUAAGUUCUCUUUUUCUGUCACAUUUUAUUCUUUUCUGGUUGAAGCCAAAGUUUCAAAAGCCAAAGCUUGUUUGAAAAUCUUUUACAUUUUCUGACUGUGAGUACAAACUUCAGCCAACGACACAUUGUGACAUUAAAACAGUGGUUCGCAACCUUUUAGAAUUGCAACACAGAUACCCCAAAUUACCUCACAACCCCUUGAGGGGCCUUGAGAACCACUGGAAGUCCUUUUAUAAUAAUAUCAAGCUCAUAUUAAUAAUGAUAAAACUAGAUCCUGACAAAUUCCAGUUUAGGUCAACAGCUCAUGAACAUUUACCUCACAAGAAGCUGGUGAUGAGUUCCUGCCAACCUUUUCUGCAAGUUCAACUUUAACUCAUUUACAACUCAUCUAGCCAUACGUUUGGUACAGAGGGGGCUAUUAUUUCAAUCUACUGAUCCUAUACCUUGAAGAUGACAGGCCUGCUGAUGAUAAAAUUAUGUUUAAAUACAUGCACCAAUUUUAAUAAAACAACAUGCCUUCAAAAUGUGUACUGAUGAAUGACUAGAAUGUGUAGUAUAUUAUCACAGAAUAUGAAAACAAUUAGCCUAUGGUUUAACUCAUUUGUAUUCACUGAACCCUGCAGUAGUUUGCAGAUUGUUCCUUUAACUGGGGUAAUAUAAUGGAGAAGAUGCACUGCAGCUGCCCAGUGAUGGUUUGUAUGCAGCAUGGAAUAUGGUGUCAUUUAUCCUCAGCAGGGAGUGUGUGUGUGUGUGUACGUGUGUGGUCUGUCUGCAGAUUGGAAGCUGCAAAUAUCUUGAAACAGAAUGGCUACAAUCUACCAGCUUGAAAUGGCAUUAUCAACAGGAAUGAAAUGCUGUGAAAUUCAGCAAAGCUGCAAACUGUAUCAUUCAGCAACUCUAUGACAUCAUCAUGGCUAAAUCUCCCAUGGUAUAAACUUCACCUUAUCUCAGACUGUCAGACAGUGAUGUGUAGGUGUUAAUGUCAAUAACAUCGAUAACAUCCCAACUGCCUCGGGUAGAAUAUUGAUCCCACAUUUAACAGACAUGGGUAGAUGCCUUUCAUUGUCACGUACCAGACUCCCAUAAAAUAACCUGAGGAGAACCAGCACUCAAUACAACUGCUGUUAGGGGCUUAACAAGAGUGCCAUCCUGUGGUAAAGUAAAACAUCAGUAAUCAGAGGCUCCAAAGUAAGCAGGAUUAAACUUCACCAGAAAUCCAUGAAGUGUUGUCUUUGACUGUGACUGUGUGCAUCACAGACAGUCUCAAAAUGUUUGGCUUAGACUUUAAAUGCAGCUGAUCUGAUGGAAAUGCAAACACCCAUGCUGUUGUAUUAGCACACUACCCGUGUUUGUGCUUCAGUAUGUUUGAGUU
Long non-coding RNA from Larimichthys crocea (large yellow croaker), 2191 nucleotides. RefSeq lists it as uncharacterized. NCBI's taxonomy places the organism in Eukaryota, Metazoa, Chordata, Actinopteri, Sciaenidae. The transcript has 3 exons. The record is from RefSeq and is a predicted model, not a curated record.